Long non-coding RNA from Musa acuminata AAA Group (dessert banana), 2550 nucleotides. RefSeq lists it as uncharacterized. The record is from RefSeq and is a predicted model, not a curated record. Lineage: Eukaryota; Viridiplantae; Streptophyta; Magnoliopsida; Zingiberales; Musaceae. The transcript has 7 exons.
AUGAGAUGAUAGGCUCUUUGCAGGAGAGUGGAGAUCCACCGAGCUAUAAAAAAAGACUCUGAAAGUAAGCAAGCUCAAAGUAUGGUUGGUCGGUGAAGAUCGCCACCUUCGUGCUCGCCCAUGGCGUUGAGCUUAGAAAAAGACUGGAGUUGCGUGGAGAGCAAGAAGGUGAUGCUGAAAACCGACAGACUAUGCUGCUGCUUUGAAAGGGUGUUUCGCUUGCUGAGGAUACGGACAAGUGCAGAAGGCUGCGAUUGGUGUUCGGUGAGUAGAAAAGAAUCCCUCUUUCGGAGACUGGAAUUGGGAAGCGGAUGCGCACGCUGUGGGUCUGCUUUCUCUUCCAUGAACAGUUGGUCUUCACUGAUCCUUCGCUUGGAUCAGACUUUUCUUCGUUGAACUUUCGGAUACUGUGGUCAUUGUUAUUGCCCCUAAAUGUGGAAUCUGUAAUGCCCUACGUAGCUCGCAUGCACACACAUACAUGUAUCUUUAAAUGCCUUUUAUAGUGAGACAAAGAAGACCUAAUUGGAAGCUUCCGACUCCUUUUCUUGGAUGCGGGCCCGGUGGUGGUCUUUGGAAACGCUUCUGCUGGCUGCCGCCGGCUCAAAGCAGCUUCCGCCUUCGUGUCGUCGUCACGACGGUGAGCGGACCCGCCAUUCCCCGCAGCCACGAUUUGUGUGCCGUCGCCUCACCUCGCGGAUGGGGACACGGCUUGCUCUGGAAGGAGAUGAAGCAUGGUUAUGGUUCACAAGCACAAUCAAUGAGAAAGCAAACACAAAGUUGGAUAACAAAUUCAAUCUGAAUGAGAGCCAUUCCACUGCAGAAAUAUUAUGGAACCAUGGCCUUGAGUGAUUAUCUAUGAGACUGAGGUUUGUAUUGCUGAAACGGUCUUUCUGCCCAAAUGCUCGAAUAGUUACAGCACCAGAGAGUGAUUCUCCAAAAUGAUGAAGGAUCGGAGCUUUCUGGAUUUCUGACAACCGAGCCAACUCUCUUGCAGUGGCUGGCGUUGAGUCAAAGAAGGACAUUGGGGCACGAACGAUAGAGUGGAGCAUCUUUUGGAAAAAAAUUUGAGAUGUCAAAAGGCCCGUUUUUACAAGCAGAGUUGCUCGGAUCAACACACACAGUGAACAUCCAACUGAAAGAAGUAUAUACACUAAGAAGAGAAACUUGAGUCCCACUGUAGACUCUGUAGUUGUAGAUGGAGGAGAAGCCCAUGCCAUCCAAUAGUUGCUUGCUACUUGCAGUACCUGGAAAAAUGCUUGUGCUAUGACUAUUAUGGGAACCAAGGCACCUCCUCGUGCUGCAGUCAGGAUAACCUUGAACAGUUGAGUGCCUGUAUGAGCAUCCAAAGCGCUGAAAGGGUCAUCAAGAAGGUCCCCAUUAGCAAAGAGCUCAAAAUCCUUCUUCAGAGCACAAACCUCAAUUGUCUUUUCAUACUUUUCAUUGUGAAAAGGAUUUCCAAAGACAAUAUUUUCUCUAAUAUUUCCUGACAGUAUCCAUGGGGAUUGUGAAACAUAUGCUUUGCUGCCCCUAAUUUUUACUCUCCCUCCAAGCUUUGGUAUUUCUCCAAGGAUGCAUGAGAGUAAACUAGACUUUCCCGAACCAACAGUACCACAAACAGCCACCUUCAUUCCCCUAUGCACCUUCAGCUGUAUAUUUUCAAGUGUGGGGCAUCCUGAGUCUUGGUUCCAGCUAAAUGUCCCACGAUCAAUCUCAACAUCAACCUCUGCUUGAUUUCUGGGAGCAAUUUCAACCGCAUCAGCUCUCAUUUCGUCUUCUUGGAGGUACUUUGCUAUUCUGUCAGCUGAAACUUUUCCUUGUGCAAGUACUGAAAGCAGAUCGGGUAGAGUAAAGAUUGGUUCUUGCAGCAUUCUGAAUGUUGCCAAUGCAGACAAAACUCUUCCUGCAGUUAGAGGGAUUCCUAUGAUUAUACACGUUCCAAAUGUCACCACUGAUAUGAACAUCGGUGCUCCCCAGAAUAUAAAAGAUGAAAUUGCUUGCAAUCUUAAAGACAUCCACAGCCAAUUGUGCUCAGUGUUUCUCAGGUCUUCUAACUUGCGAAGUUAAGGGAAUAUUGCAUGCCAUUAUCAUUGUUGUUGCUGCUAAUCCAGCCAAAGCUCCAACUCCAAGAUUUUUAUAAAGAACAUAUAUUGCUAGUGCAAUCUGGACGGGAAGCAUCCAAAUUAUGUUUGAAUACCAUAUCAGGUCGGUAAUCCUUUGGAUAUCCACACUCAUGUAGUUGAUAAUCUCCCCACUCGUAUGGCUCUGCCGAGACUGACUUGAUAAAAUGAGGCCCUUUUUGUAUAUAUGAGAUAUUAGAACAGCUCUUAAGCGCAUUCCAAGCUGUCGAGCUCCAAAAAUCCAUUGUCUCUGACACACAGUCUCUACAACUUUGGCACCGAGAAAUGCAAGUGCAAUGAAGGUCCAACAUAAGAGGCCCCUGCAGCUGCAACUGCAAAGCUUGCAUUAAUCACAGCCUUCUUCCAGAUGAACAUGAAGAUUGCUCUGUAGAUUGAUGAAGUUCUCAAGCCGUAUCUUUCUUUGACGUUAUUC